UAGCGUAUAUUAACGUUGUUGCAGUUAAAAAGCUCGUAGUUGAAGUGUGGGUGAUCGCUGUUGUGAGACUUCGGUCUCUCGAYAGUAAGUCACCCCCUUCCAGUAUCCAGUAGUGGGUAUUCASUUACUUACUAYUGUGUGUUGGUCSUUUACUGUGAGAAAAUUAGAGUGUUCAAAGCAGGCGUUUGCUUGAAUAGAUUAGCAUGGAAUAAUAAUUGAAGGCUUUCGUGUUCGAUUUGAUUGGUUUGUUCAUGGAAGCAAGGUUAAAAGGAACAGUUGGGGGUAUUCAUAUUCACUAGUUAGAGGUGAAAUUCUCGGAUUUAUGGAAGAUGAACAAGUGCGAAAGCAUUUACCAAGGAUGUUUUCAUUAAUCAAGAACGAAAGCUAGGGGAUCGAAGAGGAUUAGAUACCCUCGUAGUCUUAGCUAUAAACGAUACCGACUAGGGGUUAGUAGAGGUCAAAGUGUCUUUAUUAGUACCUUAUGAGAAAUCAAAGUCUUUGGGUUCCGGGGGGAGUAUGGUCGCAAGGCAGAAACUUAA
Molecule: ribosomal RNA, 539 nt
Filed under: Blastocystis sp. ATCC 50609
Lineage: Eukaryota; Bigyra; Opalinata; Blastocystidae
Description: SSU rRNA
Rfam family: Eukaryotic small subunit ribosomal RNA
Source: RNAcentral